Molecule: non-coding RNA, 1169 nt
Organism: Equus caballus (horse)
Lineage: Eukaryota; Metazoa; Chordata; Mammalia; Perissodactyla; Equidae
Source: RefSeq, a predicted model, not a curated record
AUUUUUAAUGUUUUUAAUUUCUUUGUCUAGAACAUGUUUCUUUCUGUUGCAGUCCUUCUGCCUGGAACAUUGAUGAAGCACUGACUUGUUGGCUAUAAGUUACUUCAGUUUGUGUGCAUAUUGCCCUCUACAGUGUGAAUGAGGCUUAUUCAAUAAAUUGAAGAUCUCAAUAGAACAAAAGAACCAGCCCCCGCUGUGCAAGAGAGAAUUUUCCUGAGUAUUGCCUUCAGACAUCAUCUGGAACAUCAACUCUUCCUGGUUCCACAGAAGAGCGCUUUGGACUCCAACUGAAACACUGGCUCUCUUGGGUCACUAACCUCCAGGCUCAUCCUGUAAAUUUUGGAUUUACAAGCCUCCAUAAUUCUGUAAAUGCAAUUCUUUAUAAGUUGUCUCACUCCCUCUUUGUCUCUCUCUCUCUCUCUCUCUAUCUAUCUAUGUAUAUAUACGCACACACUCAUCCUACUGGCUCUGUUUCUCUGGAGAACCCUGACUCACGCAAAUUUUGUUACUGACAAUGGUUCUAGAGAAUCAGAAUUUUAAACAUGAAUUUUCUGAAUUCAUUCUGGAGUUUCUGGAAUUGAUUAUAUAAGAUGAUUAAGCAUUAAUCUCAUUUAUAGACCUUGAUGACGCUAUUUCCAGUAGUAAAGAGAUCACUAACAGUCUGUGGUGUGACCUGAUGAUAGAGAUAUGCAAAAUAUUACCAUUGGAUACUCCUAAUAAAAUGCUUAUAAUAAGCAAAUAUUUUGAUGACCGUGUAUAUGAUACUUUCAAACAUUUUUAUAAAACUAACAAGUAUAACAAUAUUGGCUUCUUGCUCCUAACAUCAUUGGUUGUGGUUAUUCUCCCAGUUCCAGACUGCGUAGUUGGAAUAGAUAUACUUAGCAGUUGGCAGAAUCCCCACGUUGGUUCCCUGACCUGUGGAGUGGGGCCUAUUAUAAGUCUAAACGGAAGCCAUUAGAACUUACUUUAUGUAGGAAAAUGGUAAAUCAAAAGCAAUACCACAUUCCUGGAGAGGUUACACAGUGCCACCUACAAGGAUUUAAAAGAUGCAGAGCUGAUCGUUCUCACCACAUUAACAUUCAACUCUUCUAUUUGCCAUGUGCGAAGAUGGAUGUUGAAGAAUGACAGUGGAUUAUUGUAAACUUAAUAAAGUGCUGAUUUCAAUCGAA